CGUGUAGGCGGCUAGGUAGGUCCGUUGUGAAAACUCGAGGCUCAACCUCGAGACGUCGAUGGAAACCAUCUGGCUAGAGUCCGGAAGAGGAGAGUGGAAUUCCUGGUGUAGCGGUGAAAUGCGCAGAUAUCAGGAAGAACACCCGUGGCGAAGGCGGCUCUCUGGUACGUGACUGACGCUGAGACGCGAAAGCGUGGGAGCAAACA
RNAcentral lists this ribosomal RNA (206 nucleotides) under uncultured bacterium. RNAcentral's name for it is "partial 16S ribosomal RNA". It matches the Rfam family "Bacterial small subunit ribosomal RNA", at positions 568 to 774 of the family's 1533-position model. The record is from RNAcentral.